This 498-nucleotide ribosomal RNA is filed under the name uncultured bacterium. RNAcentral's name for it is "partial 16S ribosomal RNA". It matches the Rfam family "Bacterial small subunit ribosomal RNA", at positions 28 to 507 of the family's 1533-position model. The record is from RNAcentral.
GACGAACGCUGGCGGCGUGCCUAAUACAUGCAAGUCGAGCGAACCAAUAAGAAGCUUGCUUUUUGUUGGUUAGCGGCGGACGGGUGAGUAACACGUGGGUAACCUGCCUGUAAGACCGGGAUAACUCCGGGAAACCGGUGCUAAUACCGGAUAGAUUAUCUUUCCGCAUGGAGAGAUAAGGAAAGAUGGCUAUUGCCAUCACUUACAGAUGGGCCCGCGGCGCAUUAGCUAGUUGGUGAGGUAACGGCUCACCAAGGCGACGAUGCGUAGCCGACCUGAGAGGGUGAUCGGCCACACUGGGACUGAGACACGGCCCAGACUCCUACGGGAGGCAGCAGUAGGGAAUCUUCCGCAAUGGGCGAAAGUCUGACGGAGCAACGCCGCGUGAGCGAAGAAGGUCUUCGGAUCGUAAAGCUCUGUUGUUAGGGAAGAACAAGUAUCGGAGGAAAUGCCGGUACCUUGACGGUACCUGACGAGAAAGCCACGGCUAACUACGUG